GGAGGGGUGUCGGAGUGGACGAUCGUGGCGGUCUUGAAAACCGCUGAGGUGCAAGCCUCCGUGGGUUCGAAUCCCACCCCCUCCGCCA
This 88-nucleotide transfer RNA is filed under the name Bacillota bacterium. Its description in RNAcentral is "Firmicutes bacterium (anaerobic digester metagenome) tRNA-Ser". It matches the Rfam family "tRNA". Rfam says of the family: Transfer RNA (tRNA) molecules are approximately 80 nucleotides in length. Their secondary structure includes four short double-helical elements and three loops (D, anti-codon, and T loops). Further hydrogen bonds mediate the characteristic L-shaped molecular structure. tRNAs have two regions of fundamental functional importance: the anti-codon, which is responsible for specific mRNA codon recognition, and the 3' end, to which the tRNAs corresponding amino acid is attached (by aminoacyl-tRNA synthetases). tRNAs cope with the degeneracy of the genetic code in two manners: having more than one tRNA (with a specific anti-codon) for a particular amino acid; and 'wobble' base-pairing, i.e. permitting non-standard base-pairing at the 3rd anti-codon position. The record is from RNAcentral. Lineage: Bacteria; Bacillati; Bacillota. RNAcentral also lists the same sequence under 1 other name.